UGUAGCUCAGUGGUAGAGCACCUGCCUAGUAGGACCUGGGUUCGAUCCCCAGCA
This 54-nucleotide transfer RNA is filed under the name Heterocephalus glaber (naked mole-rat). It matches the Rfam family "tRNA", at positions 6 to 65 of the family's 71-position model. Rfam says of the family: Transfer RNA (tRNA) molecules are approximately 80 nucleotides in length. The record is from Rfam by way of RNAcentral. Lineage: Eukaryota; Metazoa; Chordata; Mammalia; Rodentia; Bathyergidae.